RNAcentral lists this long non-coding RNA (2872 nucleotides) under Mus musculus (house mouse). RNAcentral describes it as "long non-coding RNA chr16:43089433-43092305". The record is from RNAcentral. Lineage: Eukaryota; Metazoa; Chordata; Mammalia; Rodentia; Muridae.
UUUUUUUUUUUUUUUAGGAACAUAUAGUUAUCUCUCCAGUGGAGUUGAAUAUAUGGAACUUGUUACUGUCAUCUAAAUUUUCAUCUUAAAACAAAAAUGUGUACAAAUGUUUCUAUCUCAGUGAAAUUAUAACUGUAUAAGUAGAUAAAAGUAUUUGGUAAGAAACUGAUGGCAAGUUAUUGUUCACUGAGUUUCAUAUCUAUAAUCAAUGCUGUGUGUACAUCAUUAUUGGUUUUGUAUUGCUCAGUGGUAUAGCCUGAUAUGUGCAGUAUGGGACAGAGCAGAAGUAAUGAGUUUGCUGUGAAAAUGUAGAGAACAGAUUAAAACCCAGUCCACAAAUGGUUAAGUUUUUAGAUGUCAAUAUAUAUAUAUUUUUUACUAGAGAAACUAAAGCACAGUGCAGUGUUGAAGAGGCUGAAAAUAUCCCAAUUUGCAAAAGAAACUGUCCUGUUUAAUAUCAGCAUUGUUAUUGGAGAAAACCUUAACCCUACUAAAGAAAUUCUCAUGACUCUUCUUGUCUCAUAUAAGAAAUCUGGAAUGAAGGAAGAGUAUACUGCUUAGUUUUCCAGAAAUACUAUAAUACAUAAUUUUCAGUACAGAAUAAUUAUCAUCUAACUCAUACCUGAGAUAAGAGCCUUUAAAGAAACUGUCCAUUCGUCGAGAGUGUUAAGUCACCAUGGACAAAGGCCAUUAUUAUACUGAAGUCUCGUGUAUCACAGUUUAAGAACAAGAUAGAGGGUGGUUCUUAAGAGUUGGAAGCACGUUCUGUCCUGUUGUAGACUAUGGCUUUUCUAUGAGUGCUAGUGAAAGUACACACACGGCUUAUAGACCAAUGCUGGCACUUUCUUUCUUCAUGAUGUGCAUGUAUAUGAGAGCAUUUAUCAGCAUACAGUCAGAAUUAACCAUGAGCUGUAUCUGUGGGCUGGCAGGCCGGGAAGAAUACAGCACACACUCCUCAGAUCAGUGUUGUUUGGCAAGUCUCACCACCUUGGCAGAGCUGAACUGAGACCUAGAGGAAGCAGUACUCAUGCAGGCAGCCAUGUAGCAUUUAAAAUAAUAUUUAAUUUAUUCAGUUUGCCACAUUUUUCAGCAGCUACAUUAUUUGCUUUUGUUACAAAAACAUGGUUACAGUCUGCACACAAAACACUAAAUAGAUACUUGUUCAUUUUAGUAGAUCUAGAUACUCAAAAUGGAUAUUUAAAUUUUCAAUGUAUUUUUCUACCAUCUGUAUCAGAUUAUGAACUGCUAAAAGCAGAAACCACAGAGUCCUUAGGUAGGUUACAGAGUAUCUUGUCAGCUAGUCCAGUUGGUCUACAGAAGAGGGAAGGGCCACAGCAAGCUGAGCACCUCAGUGUAGCCAGGUGUGCUGGGAGAAGGUCAGCAGUGCGCGGCCCUUUUAUGGUUUUCCUUCAGUUUCCUCAUGGCACCAGACAGUGUUGCUUACUCCUGCUUUCUAAAUGUGUUCAUAUGGUUUAAAAGGGUGGGGGAUUCAUAAAGUACACAGAGAAACUAAUGGCUAUCAACCUACCUUAUUCAUCAAAGACUGUAGCUCAUCUAGUGUUUUACUGAAAUGAAAUUUAAAAAUCAAAAUGGAAUCAAUGCUCAAAUAUUUUGCUUAUUUGUUUUUUUUUUUAAUAAAAGUACUUUCAAAAGUAAUGUUCUAAGACUGGCUUUAAUGGUAUAUGCCUUUAAUUCUAGCACUGGGGAGGUAGAACCAGGCAGACUUGUGUGGGUUCAAGGCAAGUCUUGUCUCUAUAUAGCAAGUUACAAGAUAUCCAAAGUUACAUGGUGAGAUCCUGUAAACAGUUAAUAGAUAAACAAAUAAAAAAACAAGCACUCCACAGCUAAAAAUCUACGGGAAAAUCCCAUCCAUCAUAAAACCAUCAUGGUUUUGUCCUAUAGACAGCAUGUUCCUAGCUUCCUACAGCCUCAUCAGUAUAAAGGAUUAGCAGUUAUUUAUCUUACCGGAAGAAAGAAAAUUGUAUUACACCAAUGUCUUUUGUGCAGGUUAUAUCAGAUUUCAUAUUUUAAAAAGUUAAUUACAAAUUUAGAUUUCUUUUUUUAUGAUCUGAGUGUUAAAUGUUUAAUAUUUUUCACUGAGUUUUCAUUUUAUUUUUUCAUUUUUUCAAAAAGAUCUUUACCAAUUUUUAUAGCAUAUUUGUAUGUUAUCAAAAGUUAAAUUUUGCAGGUGCCUGAGUGAAGCUGGGAGCUGGCAAGGUGGUCUUCCCUUGGGAAGAGCACACCAAAUGGUUGUCCAUGUCAAGAUUUUAAGCCUGGAAGCACACAUGCUAGUAACAUUAUGUGGACUCUAUAAGUUAUAUUUAGGAAUAUAUGUGUAUAUAAAUAUGCAUAUAUGCAUGUGAUACAAUGAGAAAAGAGGCCAUAAAUUUAAGAAGGGGUGGGAAGAAUAUGUGUGUGUGUGUGUGUGUGUGUGUGUGUGUGUGUGUGUGUGUGUGUGUGCGUGAUUGUUGGAGAGAGGAAAGUGAAGGGAAAUAAAGUCAUAAUUAAAUAACAAUCUCAAAUUUUUAAGCACUUAGAAAAAAUGAAGUUUUGUGUUCCUAGUUUUAGUUAUUAAUUUCUUUUUGCCCUGUAGUAUUUGCAUACAGUAGUGCUCACUGCUCAUUUACUUUGUGACUUAGAAGAACUCAUAUGGAGAGAACUUAUUCACAUUUUUUUAUAGCAGAUUUGUGGUGUAAUCUUUUAUUUAAUAUUUAUAUUUUGAUUCAACUAAAUUUUACAUUCUGUGUACUUUCAAAAUGCAUUAACUCUUGUUUUUGAAUGAAAGUAGCAGUUUUAUUUUUUCACUUGAAAUGAAAAAAAAAUCCUUUUUUGUUCCAUAAACUUUUUAGGAAGACAGAGUUAGCACAAAGGC